This is an RNA transcript of Telopea speciosissima, 1458 nucleotides long. It is a transcript of the gene named methyltransferase N6AMT1-like, with no coding region annotated. The record is from RefSeq and is a predicted model, not a curated record. Lineage: Eukaryota; Viridiplantae; Streptophyta; Magnoliopsida; Proteales; Proteaceae. The transcript has 5 exons.
CUCUCUAUUUCUUACUGUUUACGAGUUGCUUCGAGAACUGCGUGUUACUAAGGAACGCUUAUCUUCAGUUGUAAAACCUGAAGGUUCUACUAAUGUUGGGAGUUGACAUGGAACCCAAGAUAGAAGCCAAUGCCGUAAUGCCGUCCUUGCCCUCCAUUAGAGCAAAAGAAGAGGACCAACAGAACAAUAGACCAGUCUCAUACAGAAUGUCUACUAGAAGUGCUCAAAUCCGGCUUGUGAGCUCCCAUCCUGAGGUUUAUGAACCCUGUGAUGAUUCUUUUGCCUUGGUUGAUGCAUUACUAGCUGACAGAAAUAACCUGUUAGAGCAUAGGCCAACAUUUUGCAUAGAAUUGGGUUGUGGUAGUGGUUAUGUGAUCACUUCACUAGCAAUCAUGCUAGGGCAGGAGGGUGCUGGUGUCAGUUACUUUGCAACUGAUAUUAACCCGCAUGCAGUGAGAGUGACCAGGGAAACGUUGGAGGCCCAUGGGGUCCACGCAGAGGUGAUCUUGACGGAUAUUGUAUCUGGGUUGGAGAGACGGUUGGUGGGUAUGGGGGAUGUGAUAGUUGUGAACCCACCUUAUGUACCAACACCAGAAGAUGAAGUGGGUCGUGAUGGGAUUGCUUCUGCAUGGGCAGGAGGUGAGAAUGGGCGGAGUGUCAUUGACAGGAUCCUACCCAUUGCAGAUAAACUUUUGUCGGAAAGGGGUUGGUUGUACAUGCUCACGCUAGCUGCUAACAACCCCUCUCAAAUAUGCCGUAUGAUGAGAGAGAAGGGCUAUGCUUCCCGAAUUAUUGUCCAGAGAUCCACUGAGGAAGAGAGCCUCCAUGUUAUUAAAUUCUGGCGGGAUACUGAAAUUCAGGUGGGAACUAAGGAGCAAAUCACAGAAAAUAGAACUCCUUCAGAAGUAAUGGAAUCUCUACUGUCACAAAUUCCUCGCUUGGCUUUCUGGAGGAGUGGCAGCCGCGACAGCUGAAUGCAGGAAACAGGAAGCUAGGGUCCUUUCUGCUCAAGGGUAUUUCUCUUUUUCUUGGAGGAGAUCUGCCAAUUCAAUUGCAGGCAAAUUGGCUAUGGGUGGCGUGGGGCCAUCAAAAUCUGAGUUGCAUCAUAUGGCCAGUUUGAGAGCCAUCCUCUGUUGGAGCAUAUGAUUUUAUCAUAACAAAUGGUUCAUGAUGGAUCUAACCUCAAGGAUAUCCGAGAACUCUGUCGUAUUCUCAAGUUUCAUCAGUCCCUGGGUUUUCUGCUGGUUGUCAACCUGGGAGCAGAGUACAUGAUUGUGAAAGCAAUUUGGAGAACCUUAUCUGCUUUUUAAAAUGAAACUCUCGCAUAGUACCAUGGGGAAACUGCUCAGUUUGCAUGGACUAUUACACUUCGCUAUAUAAGUUUGGAAUUAUUUUAUUUUUCUAAUGCACAGGAUCUUUAAUACUUUUGUUCAUUGCCAUAUUAUAGCUCUGUGCCAA